GGCUGGGUUAGCUCAGCGGGUACAGCAAGAGGCUCUUCAUCUCAGGGUCGUGGGUUCGAGCCUCGCCUUAGACA
Molecule: non-coding RNA, 74 nt
Organism: Podarcis lilfordi (Lilford's wall lizard)
Lineage: Eukaryota; Metazoa; Chordata; Lepidosauria; Squamata; Lacertidae
Source: the annotation of a GenBank genome assembly